This 220-nucleotide long non-coding RNA is filed under the name Marmota monax (woodchuck). The record is from RNAcentral. Lineage: Eukaryota; Metazoa; Chordata; Mammalia; Rodentia; Sciuridae.
GAGAGAGCCUGUUGGAAUUUGCUUUCUUCAAGAUGGAAUAAAGACUGAUGAGUAUGUUCCAUGCAAGUCAAAAAAUAUUGAUGCUGAUGGACAGGGAUUUUGUCAAGGAGGAUUCAGCAUUGAUUUUACUAAAGCUGACAGAGUACUUCUUGGUGGCCCUGGUAGUUUUUAUUAACAAUGUCAGCUCAUCUUGGAUCAAUUGGCAGAAAUCUUAUCGAAA